UACGUAGGGGGCGAGCGUUAUCCGGAUUUACUGGGUGUAAAGGGAGCGUAGACGGCAGAGCAAGUCCGGAGUGAAAGCCCGGGGCCCAACCCCGGGACUGCUCUGGAAACUGUUAAGCUGGAGUGCGGGAGGGGCAGGCGGAAUUCCUGGUGUAGCGGUGAAAUGCGUAGAUAUCAGGAGGAACACCGGUGGCGAAGGCGGCCUGCUGGACUGCAACUGACGUUGAGGCCCGAAAGCGUGGGGAGCAAACAGG
Molecule: ribosomal RNA, 253 nt
Filed under: uncultured bacterium
Lineage: Bacteria
Description: partial 16S ribosomal RNA
Rfam family: Bacterial small subunit ribosomal RNA
Source: RNAcentral